GCCCGGAUGGCGGAACUGGUAGACGCACGGGACUUAAAAUCCCGAGGCUUAGGCCGUGUGGGUUCGAGUCCCACUCCGGGCA
Molecule: transfer RNA, 82 nt
Filed under: Spiribacter salinus M19-40
Lineage: Bacteria; Pseudomonadati; Pseudomonadota; Gammaproteobacteria; Chromatiales; Ectothiorhodospiraceae
Rfam family: tRNA
About the family: Transfer RNA (tRNA) molecules are approximately 80 nucleotides in length. Their secondary structure includes four short double-helical elements and three loops (D, anti-codon, and T loops).
Source: Rfam by way of RNAcentral